ACCUGCCCAUUGGAAUCUAAAAGGCCGCGGUAUUAUGACCGUGCUAAGGUAGCAUAAUCAUUAGUCUUUUAAUUGGAGGCUGGUAUGAAUGGUUGGACAAGAAAUAAGCUGUCUUAAAUAAAAAUAUUGAAUUUAACUUUUAAGUGAAAAGGCUUAAAUUUUCUAAGGGGACGAUAAGACCCUAUAAAACUUUAUAUUUUAAAAUAAUAAUUAAUUUUAUAUAGAAGAUUUAUUUUUAAAUAUUUUAUUGGGGUGAUAAAGAUAAAAUGUGAGAUAACUGUCUUUUUUUUUUUACAAUUAAUAUUUGAGUAAAAGAUCUUAACAAAGGAAAUAAGAGAUUAAGUUACUUUAGGGAUAACAGCGUAAUUUUCUUUAAGAGUUCUUAUCGACAAGAAAGUUUGCGACCUCGAUGUUGAAUUAAAAGUUCUUUAUAGAGUAGAUAUUAUAAUAGAGGGUCUGUUCGACCCUUAAAAUUUUACGUG
Molecule: ribosomal RNA, 482 nt
Filed under: Pontastacus leptodactylus (narrow-clawed crayfish)
Lineage: Eukaryota; Metazoa; Arthropoda; Malacostraca; Decapoda; Astacidae
Description: Astacus leptodactylus (narrow-clawed crayfish) partial large subunit ribosomal RNA
Rfam family: Bacterial large subunit ribosomal RNA
Source: RNAcentral